Molecule: long non-coding RNA, 2441 nt
Organism: Cyprinus carpio carpio
Lineage: Eukaryota; Metazoa; Chordata; Actinopteri; Cypriniformes; Cyprinidae
Source: Ensembl
CAAGUUUUUAAAAAGCCUCUUGAAUGCUUGCUUCCAGGGAGGAACAUGAAUGCUGGUGCGUUGAGUAGCUGGCAUUAACUUUAAUAUGUUGUCAGUUUUGUUUUCUUUUGUUUGUUCUUUUAAAUCAUGCUUUAUCUAACUCAAAAAAGUGAUGUGUGACCCUAAGACGUUUAUAAUGAGUGGUUAAGUGAUGCUAGUCAGAUAUUUUUAACAUGUAUUUAUGUUUGUGUUUUUAAAAGCAAGUUAUUUUGAAAGAUUUUGCACAUUUUUAAAAGAUUAGCGACACAUUUCUUUAGAAUAACAUGCACCAGUGAACUAUGACAGAAAUGUGUGCAGUAAAGUUUUAUUUCAUGCUCUCCAACUUAAUUUGAUACUUACUUUGUUUUUUAUACGACCAUAAGCAUGUUUCAAAUGCUCACAUUUCAGCAUUACUUCUCUGCACGACAUUGUUGCCAAAGAUAAGAUUUCUUUUUGAAAAGUAAUACAUGAAACCUUCUGGCUGGCCAAAUCAACCUCAUCAUAAUAGACUCAGACAAUCUGGCUCCCUGGCAUUGCAGCAGUCCUUUUUUUUAUAUAAAUCUCUAUCUCUCUUGAUCCCUCUGCAACUCUUAUCAGCUAAAUGGCUUUUGAGAAUGUAGCAAUCAAUACAUCAACAAGUGAAUGAAUGAAUAACCUCCUUCAGAGUUCAUUGCUAACAAAAGAAAAACCAUAUCAGUGUAAGGAUUGCUGUUAUCAUGGGUUUGGUACAAAAUGGAAACUGUAGAGAUAAAAUCAAAUGGGAUGUAAAUGGUUAUAGGGUGCUAUUAAAAAAUCUAUACAUUAUUUCCAGCAUUCCUCUCAUGAGAAAAAAAAGAUUUCUGUAAAUUAGUUUUAGUUGAACAAUUUUGUAUGAAUUUGUAUGUUCAUGAUUCGAUUUGUACAAAAACCUAUGAUUUUGAGGAAACAAAAGCAUAAAGGUCCACCCCUAAACCUCAUGGGAACAUUGUACCAAAAUAGACUGAGAUUGUAUGAAUUCAUCACAGAUUCAUCAAAAUGUAAAAUAAAAUUACCAUUACACCGUGUUGAAUCUUUCUGUGAUCAAGGAGUUGCUUCAUACUGCUCUUGCUCUCACUGAAGCGAUUUAUAAUUCAGGAUCACAACUUGACGUUCAGUGUUUCUGAUGAAUAUGACAGACUUAGCUGCAUAAUUCACCUGAUCAUCAGCAUUAAAAAUACAUUCAAGUGUGUUAAAUUAAUGCAUUGUGUCUCAUAAACAUUGCUUGAUCUUAUGUUUCAGGAUUGUCCGCAGGUUAGUCCUAUAGAAAAGCAUUUAUGAUCAGCUGUUUUGAGGUCUAAAUGGAAGGUUUUUUUUGGAAAUGGAGGUUUCGAGAUUUACACCAGUAUCACAGGAUGCUGAAUGAGACGCAGCAGUGCUAACAGACCUCAGAAAUUGUGUUGUACCAUUGUAGGAGGCCAGUAUUUGCGUUGGGUCAGGGGUUCGCACAUCGCUGGGGAGUGACAGAGAACGUGGAGUGCAUUUAAAUGAGUUUGUGGGCUGAGAGAGUUGAAACGAUGUGGGAAUCUGUGAAAAAUGAUUGUCGCAAUGUUAAAGUUAGUGCUUCUCAUCUCUGUGUUUAAGCUGAUAUGGAGAAAAGUAGUGAUAUAUCUGACUGAAAUUCAUCUCAGAUAUUGUUGAAGUGUUGAUUUUAGCGUAUUUUUGGUCAAAGAAAGUUGUGUGAAAAGCACUGUUGCAUUUUUCCUCAUCAUUCUUCAUGAAGAAACACUCAGGGCUGGAUUUUCAACAAGACUGCAUGGCAUGACGAAGAAUAACAAUCGUUUGCAAAGGUCAUGUGCAAAGGUUAAACUAGUUAGCACCAAAGCUAUCUGCUAGCAUUCCCAUUCAUCUCAAUGGCAAUUUCUCUGCUAGCUAGUGCACAAUUGUAUAUGAUUUGUAGUUCACCGUUUAAAUUCCAGAAGAAAUGGGAUAACCUUUCAUAGGUGGAUGCCUGCUCUUCUAAAGAUCUGAAGAGUCCUGAAUGUGAAUUUGAAGAUCAGAGGGAGAGAAUGAGACACCUGCUUGCCACAGUCCUGCACAACGACAGUAACAUCACAGUGAAAACCACUCAAAUACACAGCCUUUCAUGAGCCAAAGGGACAGUGGCUUUAUCAGAUACAUCUACUCACAGAAAUCUAUUAAUACAAAAUAUUAAUUUGUUUUUCCAUCAGAAUGUUUUCAUUCUACAUGGAAAGAAUUUUUUUUCUGUGAUGCUACUUACCAAAAUAACUGCAUUUUUUAUGUGAGAUCUGAUUAAAAUGACAAACAAAAAUGUACAUUUCUGAUUUUUCUUUAGCACAUCACAUCUGAUAUUUCAUUUUAAGCAUGGUUUUAUUUGACAUUGUUGUGCAAAUGAUGCUCACUUUAUGAACAUUUAUUAUUCUGAUGGAAAUAAUAGUAACUCUGAG